RNAcentral lists this ribosomal RNA (396 nucleotides) under uncultured bacterium. Its description in RNAcentral is "bacterial SSU rRNA". It matches the Rfam family "Bacterial small subunit ribosomal RNA", at positions 361 to 774 of the family's 1533-position model. The record is from RNAcentral.
AUAUUGCACAAUGGGCGAAAGCCUGAUGCAGCAACGCCGCGUGAGUGAUGAAGGCCUUCGGGUUGUAAAGCUCUGUCUUCUGGGACGAUAAUGACGGUACCAGAGGAGGAAGCCACGGCUAACUACGUGCCAGCAGCCGCGGUAAUACGUAGGUGGCAAGCGUUGUCCGGAUUUACUGGGCGUAACGGAUGCGUAGGCGGAUACUUAAGUCAGAUGUGAAAAUCCCGGGCUUAACUUGGGAACUGCAUUUGAAACUGGGUAUUUAGAGUGCGGGAGAGNAAAGUGGUAUUCCUAGUGUAGCGGUGAAAUGCGUAGAGAUUAGGAAGAACACCAGUGGCGAAGGCGACUUUUUGGACCGUAACUGACGCUGAGGCAUGAAAGCGUGGGGAGCAAACA